This 263-nucleotide unclassified non-coding RNA is filed under the name plant metagenome. RNAcentral describes it as "partial contains small subunit ribosomal RNA, internal transcribed spacer 1, and 5.8S ribosomal RNA". The record is from RNAcentral.
UUUCCGUAGGUGAACCUGCGGAAGGAUCAUUAUUGUAUAACCGAGGUGCGAGGGCUGUCGCUGACCCGAAAGGUCGUGCACGCCCGAGUGCCCUCACACACAUCCAUCUCACCCCUAUGUGCACCACCGCGUGGGUCCCCCUUUGGCUUGUUCGGAGGGGGGCUUACGUUUUCACACAAUCUUUGUAUGCAGUGUAGAAUGUAUUUUUUGUUUUUGCGAUCACGCAAUCAAUACAACUUUCAACAACGGAUCUCUUGGCUCUC